AGUAAUAACAAAUUGAAGAAAACAAAUCGUGGCUGAAAAAGGUUGAAGAAAUACAGUAAUAACACUCUAGAAAUCAAAACGGAGACCUAACCUAAUGGCUGGGGUGGAAGAAAGAUUGGGGAACCUGCUAGCGCUCUCAACAUCACUCCAAAUCUCGUUCUCCUUCUCACUCUCACUCUCAAUCUCACUGGCACUCUCGAUCGUGCUCCUCCGCUCCUUGAAUCUCUCUCUCGUUUUAACAAAUUCUAGGGUUACAUUUGUUGUUCUCUGUUUUGAGUCGUCUUCUCAGCGGUUCCAUCCUUUACUCAAUUCACGGCUUGGAAGUGGUGGUUCUAAUGCUAACAACCAAUGGCAUGGUUUCUUCAAGCUUCUCAAGAAAGGCCCACAGAUGCCAUUUCAACCAUUUCACCCUCUUAAGAAGGAUGUUUCUAAGUUAAGUAGAAGGAAGAGUAAGAGGGUUAGAGAGGAUCUCAUUCUUUCUUCUUUUGACUCUGAGUUUGCCAACUUCAAAUCUUCAUGGAAGAAUUUCACUCUCUCUGAACUCCAGGCUGCAACUGAUGACUUUAACCAUGGGAGGGACAAGCGUCCAGUUAAGUCUUUGGUUGUUGGAAGGCCAAUUCUUCUAGCACUGGAAGAUAUUGAUGAAGGAACUAAAGUUGAAGAAAUUCUAAGGCAGUCAACAGAUGUCGAAGAGGUUGAUAGGAGAGUUCAAGAAUAUGAGCAAGGUGAAUCCUCGCCCAUCACGUCCAUCUGAAAAUAAUACUGUAAGCAGCUUAUUGUUCCUUACCUGAUUGUAAAAUUCAUGGUUUGCAUAUCUUUAUCUCUAUUAAUGUAUUGAUUUAUCAUCUUUAUCUCUGUGACGGUUGCAUAUCUGGAUUUUGUAUGAGUUAUUCUGAAUUCUCAAAUAGAAAAUCAUUGAUAUGUAGCAUCUAGAAGAUAUGAAGCAGCAGGGUGGAUUAGAAAAAUGGUUAAAGUUGUUGCAGGUUGUGGAGAGUCCUAUUGAUUCUGCAUUGAUCCUGGAUGGGGCACUAUUAUCGGCAUAUCAGUACUUCGAAAACGUGAGAAAUUUUCUGGUUGCUGUCCAGUUAUAUAAGAGAAUGAUAUUAAUGUAAAAUUAGUAUGUUAAUUGGUGUUAUCUUGUGCUGUUAGAUGACAAAUAGGGAGCACUUGAAUUCUUCAAGUUAAUAUUAGUAUGAAUUUUAUUAUUUUGUUACUUGUAAAUAUUUAUAUGUAGUCAAACUAAUCUUUACUGUAGGAAAAGUUUAUGCAAUGUAAGCAUAUUGAAGAAAUAGGAAAAUUGACUUAUUGGACCAAAUUUAGUGUUUAAAUAUCUUGGGUUUAAUUUGUAAAGUGGGUGUAGAAUAUGUAAUUGAAGAAAAAUAUCUUAAUUCAAUAUUUUGUGCA
Molecule: non-coding RNA, 1404 nt
Organism: Arachis ipaensis
Lineage: Eukaryota; Viridiplantae; Streptophyta; Magnoliopsida; Fabales; Fabaceae
Source: RefSeq, a predicted model, not a curated record